UACGAAGGGGGCUAGCGUUGCUCGGAUUCACUGGGCGUAAAGCGCACGUAGGCGGAUCUUUAAGUCAGGGGUGAAAUCCUGGAGCUCAACUCCAGAACUGCCUUUGAUACUGGGGAUCUCGAGUCCGGGAGAGGUGAGUGGAACUCCGAGUGUAGAGGUGAAAUUCGUAGAUAUUCGGAAGAACACCAGUGGCGAAGGCGGCUCACUGGCCCGGUACUGACGCUGAGGUGCGAAAGCGUGGGGAGCAAACAGG
RNAcentral lists this ribosomal RNA (253 nucleotides) under uncultured bacterium. RNAcentral's name for it is "partial 16S ribosomal RNA". It matches the Rfam family "Bacterial small subunit ribosomal RNA", at positions 524 to 776 of the family's 1533-position model. The record is from RNAcentral.